GACGAACGCUGGCGGCGUGCUUAACACAUGCAAGUCGAACGGAAAGGCCCUGCUUUUGUGGGGUUCUCGAGUGGCGAACGGGUGAGUAACACGUGUGUAACCUGCCCUUGACUUUGGGAUAACUUCAGGAAACUGGGGCUAAUACCGGAUAGGAGCUCCUGCUGCAUGGUGGGGGUUGGAAAGUUUCGGCGGUUGGGGAUGGACUCGCGGCUUAUCAGCUUGUUGGUUGGGUAGUGGCUUACCAAGGCUUUGACGGGUAGCCGGCCUGAGAGGGUGACCGGCCACAUUGGGACUGAGAUACGGCCCAGACUCCUACGGGAGGCAGCAGUGGGGAAUAUUGCACAAUGGGCGGAAGCCUGAUGCAGCAACGCCGCGUGCGGGAUGACGGCCUUCGGGUUGUGAACCGCUUUCGCCUGUGACGAAGAGUGAGUGACGGUAAUGGGUAAAGAAGCCCCGGCUAACUACGUG
RNAcentral lists this ribosomal RNA (468 nucleotides) under uncultured bacterium. Its description in RNAcentral is "partial 16S ribosomal RNA". It matches the Rfam family "Bacterial small subunit ribosomal RNA", at positions 28 to 507 of the family's 1533-position model. The record is from RNAcentral.